GUCCCCAUAGUUUAAUGGAUAAAACGGAAGAUUGCGGAUCUUCUGAUCGUGGUUCGAUUCCACGUGGGGACACCA
This 75-nucleotide transfer RNA is filed under the name Candidatus Yanofskybacteria bacterium RIFCSPHIGHO2_01_FULL_45_42. RNAcentral describes it as "tRNA-Arg". It matches the Rfam family "tRNA". Rfam says of the family: Transfer RNA (tRNA) molecules are approximately 80 nucleotides in length. Lineage: Bacteria; Candidatus Yanofskyibacteriota. RNAcentral also lists the same sequence under 3 other names. The record is from RNAcentral.